Molecule: transfer RNA, 73 nt
Filed under: Hepatospora eriocheir
Lineage: Eukaryota; Fungi; Microsporidia; Hepatosporidae
Rfam family: tRNA
About the family: Transfer RNA (tRNA) molecules are approximately 80 nucleotides in length. Their secondary structure includes four short double-helical elements and three loops (D, anti-codon, and T loops).
Source: Rfam by way of RNAcentral
GUCUGAGUGGCCCAAUGGAUAAGGCGCGGCUCUCCUAAAGCCGAGACUACGGGUUCGAGUCCCGUCUCAGAUG